Molecule: ribosomal RNA, 2922 nt
Filed under: Staphylococcus aureus M1529
Lineage: Bacteria; Bacillati; Bacillota; Bacilli; Caryophanales; Staphylococcaceae
Description: bacterial LSU rRNA
Rfam family: Bacterial large subunit ribosomal RNA
Source: RNAcentral
UUAAGUUAUUAAGGGCGCACGGUGGAUGCCUUGGCACUAGAAGCCGAUGAAGGACGUUACUAACGACGAUAUGCUUUGGGGAGCUGUAAGUAAGCUUUGAUCCAGAGAUUUCCGAAUGGGGAAACCCAGCAUGAGUUAUGUCAUGUUAUCGAUAUGUGAAUACAUAGCAUAUCAGAAGGCACACCCGGAGAACUGAAACAUCUUAGUACCCGGAGGAAGAGAAAGAAAAUUCGAUUCCCUUAGUAGCGGCGAGCGAAACGGGAAGAGCCCAAACCAAAAAGCUUGCUUGUUGGGGUUGUAGGACACUCUAUACGGAGUUACAAAGGACGACAUUAGACGAAUCAUCUGGAAAGAUGAAUCAAAGAAGGUAAUAAUCCUGUAGUCGAAAAUGUUGUCUCUCUUGAGUGGAUCCUGAGUACGACGGAGCACGUGAAAUUCCGUCGGAAUCUGGGAGGACCAUCUCCUAAGGCUAAAUACUCUCUAGUGACCGAUAGUGAACCAGUACCGUGAGGGAAAGGUGAAAAGCACCCCGGAAGGAGAGUGAAAUAGAACCUGAAACCGUGUGCUUACAAGUAGUCAGAGCCCGUUAAUGGGUGAUGGCGUGCCUUUUGUAGAAUGAACCGGCGAGUUACGAUUUGAUGCAAGGUUAAGCAGUAAAUGUGGAGCCGUAGCGAAAGCGAGUCUGAAUAGGGCGUUUAGUAUUUGGUCGUAGACCCGAAACCAGGUGAUCUACCCUUGGUCAGGUUGAAGUUCAGGUAACACUGAAUGGAGGACCGAACCGACUUACGUUGAAAAGUGAGCGGAUGAACUGAGGGUAGCGGAGAAAUUCCAAUCGAACCUGGAGAUAGCUGGUUCUCUCCGAAAUAGCUUUAGGGCUAGCCUCAAGUGAUGAUUAUUGGAGGUAGAGCACUGUUUGGACGAGGGGCCCCUCUCGGGUUACCGAAUUCAGACAAACUCCGAAUGCCAAUUAAUUUAACUUGGGAGUCAGAACAUGGGUGAUAAGGUCCGUGUUCGAAAGGGAAACAGCCCAGACCACCAGCUAAGGUCCCAAAAUAUAUGUUAAGUGGAAAAGGAUGUGGCGUUGCCCAGACAACUAGGAUGUUGGCUUAGAAGCAGCCAUCAUUUAAAGAGUGCGUAAUAGCUCACUAGUCGAGUGACACUGCGCCGAAAAUGUACCGGGGCUAAACAUAUUACCGAAGCUGUGGAUUGUCCUUUGGACAAUGGUAGGAGAGGCGUUCUAAGGGCGUUGAAGCAUGAUCGUAAGGACAUGUGGAGCGCUUAGAAGUGAGAAUGCCGGUGUGAGUAGCGAAAGACGGGUGAGAAUCCCGUCCACCGAUUGACUAAGGUUUCCAGAGGAAGGCUCGUCCGCUCUGGGUUAGUCGGGUCCUAAGCUGAGGCCGACAGGCGUAGGCGAUGGAUAACAGGUUGAUAUUCCUGUACCACCUAUAAUCGUUUUAAUCGAUGGGGGGACGCAGUAGGAUAGGCGAAGCGUGCGAUUGGAUUGCACGUCUAAGCAGUAAGGCUGAGUAUUAGGCAAAUCCGGUACUCGUUAAGGCUGAGCUGUGAUGGGGAGAAGACAUUGAGUCUUCGAGUCGUUGAUUUCACACUGCCGAGAAAAGCCUCUAGAUAGAAAAUAGGUGCCCGUACCGCAAACCGACACAGGUAGUCAAGAUGAGAAUUCUAAGGUGAGCGAGCGAACUCUCGUUAAGGAACUCGGCAAAAUGACCCCGUAACUUCGGGAGAAGGGGUGCUCUUUAGGGUUAACGCCCAGAAGAGCCGCAGUGAAUAGGCCCAAGCGACUGUUUAUCAAAAACACAGGUCUCUGCUAAACCGUAAGGUGAUGUAUAGGGGCUGACGCCUGCCCGGUGCUGGAAGGUUAAGAGGAGUGGUUAGCUUCUGCGAAGCUACGAAUCGAAGCCCCAGUAAACGGCGGCCGUAACUAUAACGGUCCUAAGGUAGCGAAAUUCCUUGUCGGGUAAGUUCCGACCCGCACGAAAGGCGUAACGAUUUGGGCACUGUCUCAACGAGAGACUCGGUGAAAUCAUAGUACCUGUGAAGAUGCAGGUUACCCGCGACAGGACGGAAAGACCCCGUGGAGCUUUACUGUAGCCUGAUAUUGAAAUUCGGCACAGCUUGUACAGGAUAGGUAGGAGCCUUUGAAACGUGAGCGCUAGCUUACGUGGAGGCGCUGGUGGGAUACUACCCUAGCUGUGUUGGCUUUCUAACCCGCACCACUUAUCGUGGUGGGAGACAGUGUCAGGCGGGCAGUUUGACUGGGGCGGUCGCCUCCUAAAAGGUAACGGAGGCGCUCAAAGGUUCCCUCAGAAUGGUUGGAAAUCAUUCAUAGAGUGUAAAGGCAUAAGGGAGCUUGACUGCGAGACCUACAAGUCGAGCAGGGUCGAAAGACGGACUUAGUGAUCCGGUGGUUCCGCAUGGAAGGGCCAUCGCUCAACGGAUAAAAGCUACCCCGGGGAUAACAGGCUUAUCUCCCCCAAGAGUUCACAUCGACGGGGAGGUUUGGCACCUCGAUGUCGGCUCAUCGCAUCCUGGGGCUGUAGUCGGUCCCAAGGGUUGGGCUGUUCGCCCAUUAAAGCGGUACGCGAGCUGGGUUCAGAACGUCGUGAGACAGUUCGGUCCCUAUCCGUCGUGGGCGUAGGAAAUUUGAGAGGAGCUGUCCUUAGUACGAGAGGACCGGGAUGGACAUACCUCUGGUGUACCAGUUGUCGUGCCAACGGCAUAGCUGGGUAGCUAUGUGUGGACGGGAUAAGUGCUGAAAGCAUCUAAGCAUGAAGCCCCCCUCAAGAUGAGAUUUCCCAACUUCGGUUAUAAGAUCCCUCAAAGAUGAUGAGGUUAAUAGGUUCGAGGUGGAAGCAUGGUGACAUGUGGAGCUGACGAAUACUAAUCGAUCGAAGACUUAAUCAA